GAUGAAGAACGUAGCGAAAUGCGAUAAGUAAUGUGAAUUGCAGAAUUCAGUGAAUCAUCGAAUCUUUGAACGCACAUUGCGCCCAUUAGUAUUCUGGUGGGCAUGCCUGUUCGAGCGUCAUUUCAACCCUUAAGCCCUCGUUGCUUAGCGUUGGGAGCCUACAAAAGAAACAAAACCCUCUGUAGCUCCCCAAAGAUAGUGGCGGAGUCGGUCUCACACCCCAGACGUAGUAAGAAUUAAUCUCGUCUGCGGUUGGGCCGGUCCCCUGCCGUAAAGCUUUUUAGUCUUAAAAAAAAGGUUGACCUCGGAUCAGGUAGGAAUACCCGCUGAACUUAAGCAUAUCAAUAAGCGGAGGA
This 356-nucleotide unclassified non-coding RNA is filed under the name soil metagenome. RNAcentral describes it as "partial contains 5.8S ribosomal RNA, internal transcribed spacer 2, and large subunit ribosomal RNA". The stretch from base 1 to 120 matches the Rfam family "5.8S ribosomal RNA", at positions 35 to 154 of the family's 154-position model. The record is from RNAcentral.